UAGGGUGACGAUUUCGGACGAGCACCGGUUUUUGGUACCGGAAUUCGCAGGUUCAAAUCCUGCCGCCCCAGCCA
This 74-nucleotide transfer RNA is filed under the name Oxalobacteraceae bacterium. RNAcentral describes it as "tRNA-Gln". It matches the Rfam family "tRNA". Rfam says of the family: Transfer RNA (tRNA) molecules are approximately 80 nucleotides in length. Their secondary structure includes four short double-helical elements and three loops (D, anti-codon, and T loops). Further hydrogen bonds mediate the characteristic L-shaped molecular structure. tRNAs have two regions of fundamental functional importance: the anti-codon, which is responsible for specific mRNA codon recognition, and the 3' end, to which the tRNAs corresponding amino acid is attached (by aminoacyl-tRNA synthetases). tRNAs cope with the degeneracy of the genetic code in two manners: having more than one tRNA (with a specific anti-codon) for a particular amino acid; and 'wobble' base-pairing, i.e. permitting non-standard base-pairing at the 3rd anti-codon position. The record is from RNAcentral. Lineage: Bacteria; Pseudomonadati; Pseudomonadota; Betaproteobacteria; Burkholderiales; Oxalobacteraceae.